Molecule: long non-coding RNA, 245 nt
Filed under: Gossypium barbadense (sea-island cotton)
Lineage: Eukaryota; Viridiplantae; Streptophyta; Magnoliopsida; Malvales; Malvaceae
Description: long non-coding RNA (GBAR_LNC009075)
Source: RNAcentral
ACAGGACAGGACAGAAAUGAGCCAUGUAAGUCCAUAUCAGAUAUAUGGCUUUGGAGACAGGAAUAAUUCAUGUAAGUCCAUGUCGAAGACAUGGCAUUGGCAGGAUAUUGAUAGACAGGAACGACCCUAGUAUCCUUAGUAUUCCGAGUGGUUCAACGGGUCAUUGUACACGUUAAAUUACAGUGAAUUAUCAGCAAAAGGGAAGGUAGAUUAUAUUUAUGAAUAGUUAAAGGUCAGGUAAGAAA